CCUACGGGAGGCUGCAGUGGGGAAUAUUGGGCAAUGGGCGCAAGCCUGACCCAGCAACGCCGCGUGAAGGAAGAAGGCUUUCGGGUUGUAAACUUCUUUUCUCAGGGACGAAGAAAGUGACGGUACCUGAGGAAUAAGCCACGGCUAACUACGUGCAAGCAGCCGCGGUAAUACGUAGGUGGCAAGCGUUAUCCGGAUUUACUGGGUGUAAAGGGAGUGUAGGCGGGAAAGCAAGUCAGAUGUGAAAACCAUGGGCUCAACCUGGGGCCUGCAUUUGAAACUGUUUUUCUUGAGUACUGGAGAGGCAGACGGAAUUCCUAGUGUAGCGGUGAAAUGCGUAGAUAUUAGGAGGAACACCAGUGGUGAAGGCGGUCUGCUGGACAGCAACUGACGCUGAGGCGCGAAAGCGUGGGGAGCAAACAGGAUUAGAUACCCCUGUAGUC
Molecule: ribosomal RNA, 443 nt
Filed under: uncultured bacterium
Lineage: Bacteria
Description: partial 16S ribosomal RNA
Rfam family: Bacterial small subunit ribosomal RNA
Source: RNAcentral